Molecule: ribosomal RNA, 838 nt
Filed under: uncultured bacterium
Lineage: Bacteria
Description: bacterial SSU rRNA
Rfam family: Bacterial small subunit ribosomal RNA
Source: RNAcentral
AGAGUUUGAUCCUGGCUCAGGAUGAACGCUGGCGGCGUGCUUAACACAUGCAAGUCGAACGGGCGGAGGGAGCUUGCUCCCGAAGCUAGUGGCGGACGGGUGAGUAACGCGUGGGUAACCUGCCUCAUACAGGGGGAUAACAGUGAGAAAUCACUGCUAAUACCGCAUAUGCGCACAGUACCGCAUGGUACAGUGUGGAAAACUCCGGUGGUAUGAGAUGGACCCGCGUUGGAUUAGCUAGUUGGUGAGGUAGUGGCUCACCAAGGCGACGAUCCAUAGCCGGCCUGAGAGGGUGGACGGCCACAUUGGGACUGAGACACGGCCCAGACUCCUACGGGAGGCAGCAGUGGGGAAUAUUGCACAAUGGGGGAAACCCUGAUGCAGCGAUGCCGCGUGGAGGAAGAAGGUUUUCGGAUUGUAAACUCCUGUCUUAAAGGACGAUAAUGACGGUACUUUAGGAGGAAGCUCCGGCUAACUACGUGCCAGCAGCCGCGGUAAUACGUAGGGGGCAAGCGUUAUCCGGAUUUACUGGGUGUAAAGGGAGCGUAGACGGCAAGGCAAGUCUGAUGUGAAAUACCGGGGCUCAACCCCGGGACUGCAUUGGAAACUGUUUAGCUAGAGUGCAGGAGAGGUAAGUGGAAUUCCUAGUGUAGCGGUGAAAUGCGUAGAUAUUAGGAGGAACACCAGUGGCGAAGGCGGCUUACUGGACUGUAACUGACGUUGAGGCUCGAAAGCGUGGGGAGCAAACAAGAUUAGAUACCCUGGUAGUCCACGCCGUAAACGAUGAUUACUAGGUGUUGGGGAUUUAUAAAUCCCUCGGUGCCGCCGCUAACGCAAU